This 468-nucleotide ribosomal RNA is filed under the name uncultured bacterium. RNAcentral describes it as "partial 16S ribosomal RNA". It matches the Rfam family "Bacterial small subunit ribosomal RNA", at positions 28 to 507 of the family's 1533-position model. The record is from RNAcentral.
GACGAACGCUGGCGGCGUGCUUAACACAUGCAAGUCGAACGGAAAGGCCCUGCUUUUGUGGGUUUCUCGAUUGGCGAACGGGUGUGUAACACGCGUGUAACCUGCCCUUGACUUUGGGAUAACUUCAGGAAACUCGGUCUCAUACCGGAUAUGAGCUUCUGCUGCAUGGUGGGCGUUGGAAAGUUUCGGCGGUUGGGGAUGGACUCGCGGCUUAUCGGCUUGUUGGUGAGGUAGUGGCUUACGAAGGCUUUGACGGGUAGGCGGCCUGAGAGGGUGGCCGGGCACAAGAGGACUGAGGGACGGAGCAGAAUGGAACGGGAGGCAGCAGUGGAGAAUAUGGCAGAGUGGGCGGAAGUCUGAUGCAGAAGCGCCGCGAGCGGGAUGAUGGGCUUUGGGGUGUGAACAGAUUUGGAAUGUGACGAAGAGAGAGUGACGGUAAUGGGUAAAGAAGCAACGGCUAACUACGUG